AUUGAACGCUGGCGGCAGGCCUAACACAUGCAAGUCGAACGAGUGGCGGACGGGUGAGUAAUGUCUGGGAAACUGCCUGAUGGAGGGGGAUAACUACUGGAAACGGUAGCUAAUACCGCAUACCAUCAGAUGUGCCCAGAUGGGAUUAGCUAGUAGGUGGGGUAAUGGCUCACCUAGGCGACGAUCCCUAGCUGGUCUGAGAGGAUGACCGGCAACACUGGAACUGGGACACGGUCCAGACUCCUAGGGAGGGAGGCAGUGGGGAAUAUUGCACAAGGGGCGAAAGCCUGAGGCAGCCCUGCGGCGUGUGGGAGGAAGGCCUUCGGGUUGUAAAGCACUUUCAGCGAGGAGGCGUUACUCGCAGAAGAAGCACCGGCUAACUCCGUGCCAGCAGCCGCGGUAAUUC
Molecule: ribosomal RNA, 406 nt
Filed under: uncultured bacterium
Lineage: Bacteria
Description: partial 16S ribosomal RNA
Rfam family: Bacterial small subunit ribosomal RNA
Source: RNAcentral